RNAcentral lists this non-coding RNA (30 nucleotides) under Mus musculus (house mouse). Lineage: Eukaryota; Metazoa; Chordata; Mammalia; Rodentia; Muridae. The record is from RNAcentral.
UCCUUUGCUGAAAGUGUUUGCAUAAAGAAG